This 952-nucleotide non-coding RNA is filed under the name Stolephorus insularis. RNAcentral's name for it is "12S ribosomal RNA". It matches the Rfam family "Bacterial small subunit ribosomal RNA". Lineage: Eukaryota; Metazoa; Chordata; Actinopteri; Clupeiformes; Engraulidae. The record is from RNAcentral.
UAAAGGUUUGGUCCUAGCCUUACUAUCAACUUUAACCUAAAUUACACAUGCAAGUCUCCGCAGCCCCGUGAGGAUGCCCCCAACUUCCCACCCGGAAAUAGGGAGCAGGCAUCAGGCACAAACCUUUGCCCAAGACGCCUUGCUUAGCCACACCCCUAAGGGAAUUCAGCAGUGAUAAACAUUAAGCCAUAAGUGAAAGCUUGACUUAGUCAAGGUUAACAAGGGCCGGUAAAACUCGUGCCAGCCACCGCGGUUAUACGAGGGACCCUAGUUGAUGAACACGGCGUAAAGGGUGGUUAUGGGACCCUCUUUUACUAAAAUUGAAAGCCCCUUCAACUGUUAUACGCAUCCAGGGGUAUUAAUUUCUCUUACGAAGGUAGUUUUAUUAUUGUCAGCCAGAACCCACGAUAGCCAGGACACAAACUGGGAUUAGAUACCCCACUAUGCCUAGCCGUAAACUCAGAUGUUUUUUACAACACUCAUCCGCCAGGGAACUACAAGCACCAGCUUAAAACCCAAAGGACUUGGCGGUGCCUCAGACCCCCCUAGAGGAGCCUGUUCUAGAACCGAUAAUCCCCGUUCAACCUCACCACUCCUUGCCCUUUCCGCCUAUAUACCACCGUCGCCAGCUUACCCUGUGAAGGAAAAGUAAGCGAAAUGAAGACAUUUCAGAACGUCAGGUCGAGGUGUAGCACACGGAGUGGGAAGAAAUGGGCUACAUUGCCUGACCCAGGCCACCCACGAAAAGUCGCCUGAAACGGCCACUUAAAGGUGGAUUUAGCAGUAAGGCGGGAGUAGAGUGCCCCCCUGAAGCCGGCUCUGAGGCGCGCACACACCGCCCGUCACUCUCCCCAACAAUCAAAUUAAUUAUUAGUAAAUAACACCAUAAUAAGGUAUUAGGGGAGGCAAGUCGUAACAUGGUAAGUGUACCGGAAGGUGCACUUGGAAUAAC